This 442-nucleotide ribosomal RNA is filed under the name uncultured bacterium. RNAcentral describes it as "partial 16S ribosomal RNA". It matches the Rfam family "Bacterial small subunit ribosomal RNA", at positions 338 to 795 of the family's 1533-position model. The record is from RNAcentral.
CCUACGGGAGGCUGCAGUAGGGAAUCUUGCACAAUGGGCGAAAGCCUGAUGGAGCAACGCAGCGUGCAGGAUGAAGGCCUUCGGGUUGUAAACUGCUUUUAUAAGCGAGAAAUAUGAUGGUAACUUAUGAAUAAGGAUCGGCUAACAACGUGCCAGCAGCCGCGGGCAUACGUAGGAUCCGAGCAUUAUCCGGAGGGACUGGGUGUAAAGAGUUGCGUAGGUGGCAUAAUAAGUAGCAAGUGAAAUCUGGUGGCUCAACCAUUCAGACUAUUAGCUAAACUGUUAAGCGCGAGACCGUUAGGGGUAACUGGAAUGUCUAGUGUAGGAGUGAAAUCCGUAGAUAUUAGAAAGAACACCGAUAGCGUAGGCAGGUUACUGGGACGGUUCUGACACUAAGGCACGAAAGCGUAGGGAGCAAACAGGAUUAGAUACCCGGGUAGUC